RNAcentral lists this ribosomal RNA (667 nucleotides) under Evernia mesomorpha. RNAcentral's name for it is "SSU rRNA". It matches the Rfam family "Bacterial small subunit ribosomal RNA", at positions 376 to 1037 of the family's 1533-position model. Lineage: Eukaryota; Fungi; Ascomycota; Lecanoromycetes; Lecanorales; Parmeliaceae. The record is from RNAcentral.
CAAUAGCUACUUGCAUCAUACUAGAGAUGAUGCAAGAUCGACUAUGUCGAAUAAAAUUCUAGGUAGAAUUAUGAUAAUGACAUUGUCUGCCUAUGUGUCUUGACCAAAUUACGUGCCAGCAGUCGCGGUAAUACGUAGAAGACUAGUGUUAUUCAUGUUUAAUCGGUUUAAAGGGUACCUAGACGGUAAAUCAAGCCUAAAACUAAAAAAAAUAAAUGAAGGGACUAAUUUACUAGAGUUACUUAUGAGGGGGUAUUAAAGUACUGCUGGUGUAGAGAUGAAAUUCUGUCAUACCUCUUUUCAAUAGAAAAACAAUGGCACAGGUAUAGGCGAAGGCAUCCCCUUAUGUGAUAACUGACGUUGAGGGACGAAGGCUUUGUGUAGCGAACAGGAUUAGAUACCCCAGUAGUCAAAGCAGAAAAUGAUGAAUGUCAUAGAUUAGAUAUAUAAGUUUAUUCUAUAAAUGAAAGUGUAAGCAUUCCACCUCAAGAGUAAUUUGGCAACAUUGGAACUGAAAUCAUUAGACCGUUUCUGAAACCAGUAGUGAAGUAUGUUGUUUAAUUUGAUGAUCCGCAAAAAACCUUACCACAAUUUGAAUAUUUAUAUCUUUUAUUGUUUUUUCUUCUUAUUAUUCAAUUAUUGAAGAAUAAGAAAAAUAGGCAAUAAG